CAGUAUGCUUAGUUUCCACUGUUUCCCCAAAAACGCAAGUCUUCAGGCUAAGUGGAUUCAUAAAGUGCGAAGGACGGGGUUUACCGUAACCCAGCACACAAAGGUUUGUAGUCGGCACUUCAAGCCCCACGAGAUUGUGAUAUCCAAGAAAGGAAGGUGUGCUUUGGUAGCAGGUGGUGUCCCUUCGUUGUUCGAGUGGAACAAUUAUUCAACCAAGGAACGACCCGGUGUUUGGGAGCGACGGGCAAGACCACCAAGUCUGGAGCCUGAUGUCUUUGAACCAGCAGCAGCGGAGCCUGUCGCCAUCCCUAUGGUCAUGGACCAUGACUAUGAAGCACCUCCUACUGUGUGCGAGGAUAGGCAACAUUACGAGCAACUAAAACAGGAAAUCGAUGCACUUCGAGAGCAACUGAAAACAUGCCAUCUGUCCAAAUUUGGACUGCAGCGGUUUGCCUCUUCUCCAGAAGACAUACGAUUUUACACCAGGUUCCCAUCCUAAACGCACCUGAUGGCGUUUUGGAGCCUGAUUGAGUCUGCAACAUCAAAAAUGAUCAGAGUGACCAGCAGAGCCAGGAAAGCAUGCAACAUUAGCACUGAGUCACUGAGAGCCCUAUGACCAGACCAACUAAACUGCUGCCAAUAGAUGAGUUGUCCCUUUUCUUGACUUACCUGUCAACUGGUUCUACCCAAAGGGAACUGUCUCAUCGCUUCAACAUCCACAGAACAACAGUAGGCCGUAUCAUAGUCACUUGGGCCAACUUUCUGUACUCCCUGUUGGGCUCGAUCUGUUUUUGGAUGUACCCCGCAGCUGUGAAGACCGGUCUACCUCCUGAGUUUAAUGGCAGAUACAGCAACACCCAAGUAAUCGUUGACUGCACCGAACUUAGAUGUCAGACCCCCGAGAUGGCCAUUAUGGUUGACAAAGGAUUCCUGGUGGAUGACCUGGUACCUGGGACUGUUUAUCGUCCAGCUUUUGUCACUCAGAGGAGGAUGUCCUACAGACCCAAUCCAUAGCUCGGCUGAGGGUGCACGUAGAAAGGAUGAUCAGAAGAGUCAAAGAGAACAAACUGUUCGACACCACCAUCCCCCUGUCCAUAACCGGGAGCAUUAAUCAGAUAUUUACAGUAGCCUGUCUUCUCUCAAAUUUCUAAAAUGGACCCCUAGUGAAGACAUGGGUAAACGAAGUUUGAAAUGUUUUUUACAAAAACUGAUUUCACACUGCUCUAUUUUUAGUUGUGCUUGAAAUGAAAUGACAACUGGAUAUGUUUGAUAGCAAGGAAACUGCACUUACAGCUGUACUUGUGUGCAUGUCUUGUGUGCUAUUUUAUUUUUACUGCUUUGCCUUUUAUAACCCUGUACGGUGUCCUUGAGUGCCAAGAAAGGCGCCUUUAAAUAAAAUGUAUUAUUAUUAUUAUUAUUAUUAUUAUUAUUCUGUUGGGUUGUCAGAGGAAUCACUAAACUCAGGUAACGUUAUGUAGUCCAUGGUUAUGCCGCUGUAUCACAAUGUAUAAUUGUAAGCACUGUGCAAUACCUAAUAACAUCACAAACCUGUAUAACUACUACAGGUCACUUUAAAAAAAAUUAACUGGCAAUCCAAAAUUGUAUUAGUGUUAACUUACAGUAACAUAUUGUGAAUAUAAGAAUAUCUUACAGGUCUUUAAUAAAUUUGACAUUCAUGA
Molecule: long non-coding RNA, 1679 nt
Organism: Perca flavescens (yellow perch)
Lineage: Eukaryota; Metazoa; Chordata; Actinopteri; Perciformes; Percidae
Exons: 3
Source: RefSeq, a predicted model, not a curated record